GACGAACGCUGGCGGCGUGCUUAACACAUGCAAGUCGAACGGAAAGGCCCUGCUUGCAGGGUACUCGAGUGGCGAACGGGUGAGUAACACGUGGGUGAUCUGCCCUGCACUUCGGGAUAAGCCUGGGAAACUGGGUCUAAUACCGGAUAGGAGCUAUUUUACGAGUGAUGGUUGGAAAGAUUUUUCGGUGUAGGAUGAGCUCGCGGCCUAUCAGCUUGUUGGUGGGGUAAUGGCCUACCAAGGCGGCGACGGGUAGCCGGCCUGGGAGGGUGGACGGCCACAUUGGGACUGAGAUACGGCCCAGACUCCUACGGGAGGCAGCAGUGGAGAGUAUUGCACAAUGGGCGCAAGCCUGAUGCAACGACGCCGCGUGGGGGAUGACGGCCUUCGGGUUGUAAACUCCUUUCGCUAGGGACGAAGCUUUUUGUGACGGUACCUAGAUAAGAAGCACCGGCUAACUACGUG
Molecule: ribosomal RNA, 465 nt
Filed under: uncultured bacterium
Lineage: Bacteria
Description: partial 16S ribosomal RNA
Rfam family: Bacterial small subunit ribosomal RNA
Source: RNAcentral